GGCCCAAUGGUCUAGUAGCAUGAUACACGCUUCGGGCUUUCGAGUCCCUCUGAGCAGUCAGAGGAAUAUGUGUGUGGUCCCGGGUUCAAUUCCCGGUUGGGCCC
Non-coding RNA from Athelia sp. TMB, 104 nucleotides. The record is from the annotation of a GenBank genome assembly. Lineage: Eukaryota; Fungi; Basidiomycota; Agaricomycetes; Atheliales; Atheliaceae.